RNAcentral lists this ribosomal RNA (1372 nucleotides) under uncultured bacterium. Its description in RNAcentral is "bacterial SSU rRNA". It matches the Rfam family "Bacterial small subunit ribosomal RNA", at positions 28 to 1381 of the family's 1533-position model. The record is from RNAcentral.
GAUGAACGCUGGCGGCGUGCCUAAUACAUGCAAGUCGAGCGAACGGACGAGAAGCUUGCUUUUCUGAUGUUAGCGGCGGACGGGUGAGUAACACGUGGAUAACCUACCUAUAAGACUGGGAUAACUUCGGGAAACCGGAGCUAAUACCGGAUAAUAUUUUGAACCGCAUGGUUCAAAAGUGAAAGACGGUCUUGCUGUCACUUAUAGAUGGAUCCGCGCUGCAUUAGCUAGUUGGUAAGGUAACGGCUUACCAAGGCAACGAUGCAUAGCCGACCUGAGAGGGUGAUCGGCCACACUGGAACUGAGACACGGUCCAGACUCCUACGGGAGGCAGCAGUAGGGAAUCUUCCGCAAUGGGCGAAAGCCUGACGGAGCAACGCCGCGUGAGUGAUGAAGGUCUUCGGAUCGUAAAACUCUGUUAUUAGGGAAGAACAUAUGUGUAAGUAACUGUGCACAUCUUGACGGUACCUAAUCAGAAAGCCACGGCUAACUACGUGCCAGCAGCCGCGGUAAUACGUAGGUGGCAAGCGUUAUCCGGAAUUACUGGGCGUAAAGCGCGCGUAGGCGGUUUUUUAAGUCUGAUGUGAAAGCCCACGGCUCAACCGUGGAGGGUCAUUGGAAACUGGAAAACUUGAGUGCAGAAGAGGAAAGUGGAAUUCCAUGUGUAGCGGUGAAAUGCGCAGAGAUAUGGAGGAACACCAGUGGCGAAGGCGACUUUCUGGUCUGUAACUGACGCUGAUGUGCGAAAGCGUGGGGAUCAAACAGGAUUAGAUACCCUGGUAGUCCACGCCGUAAACGAUGAGUGCUAAGUGUUAGGGGGUUUCCGCCCCUUAGUGCUGCAGCUAACGCAUUAAGCACUCCGCCUGGGGAGUACGACCGCAAGGUUGAAACUCAAAGGAAUUGACGGGGACCCGCACAAGCGGUGGAGCAUGUGGUUUAAUUCGAAGCAACGCGAAGAACCUUACCAAAUCUUGACAUCCUUUGACAACUCUAGAGAUGGAGCCUUCCCCUUCGGGGGACAAAGUGACAGGUGGUGCAUGGUUGUCGUCAGCUCGUGUCGUGAGAUGUUGGGUUAAGUCCCGCAACGAGCGCAACCCUUAAGCUUAGUUGCCAUCAUUAAGUUGGGCACUCUAAGUUGACUGCCGGUGACAAACCGAAGGAAGGUGGGGAUGACGUCAAAUCAUCAUGCCCCUUAUGAUUUGGGCUACACACGUGCUACAAUGGACAAUACAAAGGGCAGCGAAACCGCGAGGUCAAGCAAAUCCCAUAAAGUUGUUCUCAGUUCGGAUUGUAGUCUGCAACUCGACUACAUGAAGCUGGAAUCGCUAGUAAUCGUAGAUCAGCAUGCUACGGUGAAUACGUUCCCGGGUCU